Molecule: ribosomal RNA, 351 nt
Filed under: Triticum aestivum (bread wheat)
Lineage: Eukaryota; Viridiplantae; Streptophyta; Magnoliopsida; Poales; Poaceae
Description: partial small subunit ribosomal RNA
Source: RNAcentral
AUGAGCCGCCGCCGCCGCCAUUCCUCACCCGCGCCGGCGCUCCCGCUGGAGGACGAGGACCUCCUCCGCCUGCCUCGUCUGCAAGCGCUGGCGCGGCGUCCUCUCGGACCCCCGCUGCUUCCUCGCAGGCACCACCGGAGGCCCCCGCUCCUCGGCUUCAUGACUGGCAAGCCGCGGUGCUGUGUGCUGAUGCUGAUGUCAAAUGUGGUUCUUCUGGUUACGUUCGUGCUCCCACUUGAGUCAAUGCGGUUCAGAAGAAUUUCUGAAAGAAAUGGCUGGGAUAAAACCAUCCAUUAUGCCUACAGGAAUUUCUAUACUGCAGGGGAGCUGGGUGAAACUCUGAGCACGUGA